CUUACCAUGCAAGUCGCACGGGCAGCAAUGUUCAGUGGCGGACGGGUGAAGUAACGCGUAGGGAAGUGUCCAGAGGUGGGGGACAACCCCGGGAAACUGGGGCUAAUACCGCAUAUGGCCUGAGGGCCAAAGCAGUGAUGCGCCUUUGGAGUUACCUGCGUCCGAUUAGGUAGUUGGUGGGGUAAAGGCCUACCAAGCCGACGAUCGGUAGCUGGUCUGAGAGGACGACCAGCCACACUGGGACUGAGACACGGCCCAGACUCCUACGGGAGGCAGCAGUGGGGAAUAUUGGACAAUGGGCGCAAGCCUGAUCCAGCAAUGCCGCGUGGGUGAAGAAGGUCUUCGGAUCGUAAAGCCCUUUCGGCGGGGACGAUGAUGACGGUACCCGCAGAAGAAGCCCCGGCUAACUUCGUGCCAGCGCCGGUUAAUUCAAAA
RNAcentral lists this ribosomal RNA (435 nucleotides) under Roseomonas sp. SA-2. RNAcentral's name for it is "bacterial SSU rRNA". It matches the Rfam family "Bacterial small subunit ribosomal RNA", at positions 48 to 530 of the family's 1533-position model. The record is from RNAcentral. Lineage: Bacteria; Pseudomonadati; Pseudomonadota; Alphaproteobacteria; Acetobacterales; Roseomonadaceae.